CAAUUUCUGGGGUCAGGUGCUCUCACUAGCAAGAUGGCCCCUGCAAUGGAGGACAGGAGGGAGGCUGCAGUGCCGCAGGCACUGUGUUCACUGGGGUCGGGUGCUCUCACUAGCAAGAUGGCCCCUGGAAUGGAGGACAGCUACUCACUUUCCCACUUGUUUGUUGGAGCCCACUUGGCACAGCCAUGCUCGGCUGGCUGCUGGGAGUCACCCUCCUUGAACCUCCCCAGACCCCAACUCAGCAGCAGACCAAGGGCAGCCUUGAGCAUUAAGGGGGGUUUCAGAGGGAAAGAAGGAAGCGUGAUGGUUGUGGGUACCCACAAAAAUAGCCCACAUCCAGCAUUCCAAUUUGGGGAAAAAGGUAUGUGUGCACGUGCACACACAUUUUAUACAAAGGACUUUAGAAGGAUUUCUGAAUAGCAUCCCUUGAGUGCAGCUCAUGAUUCUCUCUUGUUACUCAAGGUCACGAGGGAUAUGUGGGAUGUCCAGAUCCCUGAACUCCAGAGGCCAGGCAAGCAUCUAGGCCUCUGGCAUGACCACUGGGGAAGUGCCCUGAGGAAGCACCUGCUUACUCUUGCCGCCAUAUGCCUCCAAACUCAGAGGAAUCUGUAACUCCAGUGCAUAGAAAUGGAGAGUUUAAUCCAUGGGGAACACUCUGGAAUGCUGAGGAAAAAAAAAUAAGCAAGAGUCAGGAAACCAGCUCCUAUAAGACGAUCGUCUGGCUUUACGUGUGUCCUACCAUCUUGGAGGAAUCAAAGACCACAUCACUGGGGACUGGUACCCCUGGAGCUAUCCACACCUAGGCUGGCCCAGCCGGGCAGACCAAUGGACAGCUUCUGACACAGAGACACCCUCGGACACCAGAGCCUUGAAUCUUCCUUUGCACCCAAAAGGGCGCUGUAUUCCACAAACCAGAUUACAACGAUGCCUUCGACUUCCCCACUUGGCCAUGUAAUGUGAUGGUUGGGAAUGUCGAGUCCACAUCAAGAAGGGCCCUGGAUUCAAGCCCUGCUUCUGCUCAUUCUUAGUCGUAAGACAUUCUUUCCAAACUUCAGUUUCUUCAUUUGUAAAAUGGGGGUUAAUGACACAUAUCUCUAAGUAUUUGUUGAACGGAUUAAAUAACAUCAUUUAUGAAAAUGAUUAGCAAACACGAUGUCUGGCACACCUCAGAAGUGAUUGUUUUGGUUAUCUAUCUAUAACUAUCUCCAAAAAUUUGAGCUUUGAAACAAUAACCACUUUAUUAUGUCUUCAUGGUUCUGUGGGUUGACUGGGAGACUGUCGGCCAGCUGGGCAGAUCUUCUGUCAGCAAGAACUGCAGCCAUCUAGAGGUCGUCUGUCUAGUGCCCAGCUUUUGUCCCCAAAGCUCAGAAGCACAGUUGCCAAGCCUUCAUAAGGCUUAGGCUCAGAAUUGGGGUAUUUUCUUCUCUGCCACAUCCUAUUUAUUAACAUGACUCACAGAGCCAGUCCAGAUGCAUUGUGGGAGGACAGACUAUGCAAGGCCAUGAAUACUGGAGGCAUGGUUCACUGGCAGGUGUCUUUGGAAACCAACGGCUACAUUGAUCAAUAAAUGAUUUUUACAAUCAGAA
This is a long non-coding RNA of Lynx canadensis (Canada lynx), 1586 nucleotides long. RefSeq lists it as uncharacterized. The transcript has 2 exons. The record is from RefSeq and is a predicted model, not a curated record. NCBI's taxonomy places the organism in Eukaryota, Metazoa, Chordata, Mammalia, Carnivora, Felidae.